RNAcentral lists this ribosomal RNA (527 nucleotides) under uncultured bacterium. RNAcentral describes it as "bacterial SSU rRNA". It matches the Rfam family "Bacterial small subunit ribosomal RNA", at positions 982 to 1509 of the family's 1533-position model. The record is from RNAcentral.
GUACAUCCAGAGAACUUGGCAGAGAUGCCUUGGUGCCUUCGGGACCUCUGAGACAGGUGCUGCAUGGCUGUCGUCAGCUCGUGUUGUGAAAUGUUGGGUUAAGUCCCGNAACGAGCGCAACCCCUAUCCUUUGUUGCCAGCGAUUCGGUCGGGAACUCAAAGGAGACUGCCGGUGAUAAACCGGAGGAAGGUGGGGAUGACGUCAAGUCAUCAUGGCCCUUACGAGUAGGGCUACACACGUGCUACAAUGGCGCAUACAAAGAGAAGCGACCUCGCGAGAGCAAGCGGACCUCAUAAAGUGCGUCGUAGUCCGGAUCGGAGUCUGCAAUUCGACUCCGUGAAGUCGGAAUCGCUAGUAAUCGUAGAUCAGAAUGCUACGGUGAAUACGUUCCCGGGCCUUGUACACACCGCCCGUCACACCAUGGGAGUGGGUUGCAAAAGAAGUAGAUAGCUUAACCUUCGGGAGGGCGUUUACCACUUUGUGAUUCAUGACUGGGGUGAAGUCGUAACAAGGUAAGCGUAGCGAG